Molecule: long non-coding RNA, 2305 nt
Organism: Trachemys scripta elegans
Lineage: Eukaryota; Metazoa; Chordata; Testudines; Emydidae
Exons: 3
Source: RefSeq, a predicted model, not a curated record
CAAUUUGAAGGCAUGUUCCGUCACAAAAGCAGUUUCCCUAAAUAAUCCUCAUCAUGGAAAUAUAAGAAUAAGUAUUCAUUCUGUAUUUGAUUGAAAAACUGCAUCACAGUCCCUUAGGAUGUUAGGUUUCCCUGGAGCACUUUUGUCAUGAGUGCAUUUCCCCCACAUGGAAUAAGAAAUCAGCACUUGCUGCUGCAGAUGACUAAGGAGUAUCAGGUCCUCUCCUAAGCAGAGCAUGAGCCAUUUAAUGUCCAAGUCUGAGAUGAAAAUUACAACUCAGAAUGUUUGAGUAGGUUGGAAAUUAGGCAAAAUGAGUUUGCUCAUCCCUAAUUGUGAGUGUCUCUGACGAAUCACAAUGGAACUUCAUGACGUACCUGGAACAAUGACGGUGUAUUUUGCCUGACAGCAGCAAAAUGGGAUAUAUAUAUAUAUAUACAUGCGUAUGGACAGAGAGCAGACGACACUGAGACACAAUUCCCUCCUGUUGAGAAAAACAUCUCUAUGUGCUAAGGAACACGUGUGAAACAUAAAUAAUCCUUUGUGAAAAGGUUUGAUUUAGUUUUAAGACAUGUAUGUCCUUUUGUAAAACUGUAAUUUUUCCCUUUAAAGUAACCUCCAGUACCUUUGUAUUUAUGCCAUACUUGUCAUCACUAAUAUCUGAGUACCCAGAGCCACAGUUAAAUGUACUUAGUUAAUUGAAUGCAUGUAGAAGGUGCCUACUGUGUGAAUAUGCACAAAGUGACAGUACAGUAAAUUAACACUAUUACAAUAAUAAAUAAAUAAAUAAAUAAGAACCACCUGGAAAGACCACCAGCCAGCCGAAAAAGGAAAUGGCAAAAGAGCAAGCCCCCGUAUCAUUAAGGCAAACCACUCACCAAACAAAAGAGAGCAACUCUCUAUUAAAACAAAAACCAGGAAAGACAAGGAGUUAAGAUACCAAAAAGGAAAUCAAAUCAAAACAAAGGAGAGGGUCCAAAUCAAAAAGAGUCGGGGUAAUCCUGAUUCAAUAACCAGGCCCUAGAAGCAACCCAUGAAGUAUCACAUGUGGGAGAGAGUUCUCCAACACAGGUCCCUGGCCCAAGAAAGACAACGGAGAGCUGACUCAUGCUUGCUGGCCAUAAAUAUACCCCAGGCCAUGCAAUGAUUAUUCAGGCAUCUAGGGCUUAGAUUAUUUAUGUAUUACACUAUCUCUUACCGCUUGACAUCUGCUUUCAAUUUCUAUUUCGAUUUAUGACUAGACGAGGGCUCCCUGGAAUGCAGCUGUGCAGUGGCGGGGAGGGAGUCAAGAGUCUUUCCAUCCUUGCGUAACCCACAUAAAGGUCGCCCAGAAUUGGUGUCCCUGUGCUUGAAGGAGUGCAAAGGCUGCUACUCAGUUGCUCACCCGAGCAGCAAGUCACUGGAAAGGAAGAGGGAACUAGCUGUAGCAAGUUGGUUGGAGAGUGAACUGGGGGGGGGGAAUUGUUCUGUACCCUAAAGGGGUAUCACAGAUUGUGCAACCAGGGACUGCUGGGAGGCAGAGGGUAGCACAAUCUGCCUCUAGCUACAUGCCCAAAUCCAGUCCAAUACAAGAACAGAAACCAGCACUGAAAUGAACUUGUUUGCCUACUGAGAGAACACUUCUUUCACUGAAAAUGAUACUGAGUUUGUAACUCUGAGUGAAGGAUAAUUUUAUUGUCGAGGACAAAACUCAAACCUCUCUUAGUGACGUAGAUUGCAACAUAAAAAUGACAACUGACCUGGUGCCGUUUCAAGGACAUCAGAACUGUUUGUUUGUUAGAGCUGUCAAGCUUGCAAAAAACCUAUGGCAUGUGAGUCCAGUAAGCUUUUCUUUUCUUUUUCCAGCUUAGCCAUGUUUGACUCGAGCCUGAGGUGAGCUCAGUUAGCACUAACUGGCUUUUGGAGAGGGCACGAUUCACAAUCAUUGUACUCAGCUAGCACAUAUGGGUGCAGUCAGAGGGCGUCUGUAGAAAUACAUGUAUAAAGCACAGAUUUUUUUGUGUGCGCGCAUCAGGAGGAAGACCCUGACAGUCCCUGCUCCAGAGAGUUUAUAAUCUACAUAGAUAAGACAGACAAAAAAGUGGGGUGAAAAGAAAUGCUAUUAUCACCAUGUUACAUGAUGGGGUAGCAAGACACAGAGAGACUAAGGGUAUGUCUACACUGUAAAAAAAAAAAAGGCCCACCGCAGCAAAUCUCAGAGUCUGGGUAAACCAACUUGGGCUUGUAGGGCCAAAAAUUGCAGUGUAGACAUUCAGGCACAGGCUGGAACCCAGGCUCUGAGACCAGCCUGAGUCAGUGUAAUUGUAAG